This 1366-nucleotide ribosomal RNA is filed under the name uncultured beta proteobacterium. RNAcentral's name for it is "16S ribosomal RNA". It matches the Rfam family "Bacterial small subunit ribosomal RNA", at positions 30 to 1393 of the family's 1533-position model. The record is from RNAcentral. Lineage: Bacteria; Pseudomonadati; Pseudomonadota; Betaproteobacteria.
UGAACGCUGGCGGCAUGCCUUACACAUGCAAGUCGAACGGCAGCACGGGUGCUUGCACCUGGUGGCGAGUGGCGAACGGGUGAGUAAUACAUCGGAACAUGUCCUGUAGUGGGGGAUAGCCCGGCGAAAGCCGGAUUAAUACCGCAUACGAUCUACGGAUGAAAGCGGGGGACCUUCGGGCCUCGCGCUAUAGGGUUGGCCGAUGGCUGAUUAGCUAGUUGGUGGGGUAAAGGCCUACCAAGGCGACGAUCAGUAGCUGGUCUGAGAGGACGACCAGCCACACUGGGACUGAGACACGGCCCAGACUCCUACGGGAGGCAGCAGUGGGGAAUUUUGGACAAUGGGCGAAAGCCUGAUCCAGCAAUGCCGCGUGUGUGAAGAAGGCCUUCGGGUUGUAAAGCACUUUUGUCCGGAAAGAAAUCCUUGACUCUAAUACAGUCGGGGGAUGACGGUACCGGAAGAAUAAGCACCGGCUAACUACGUGCCAGCAGCCGCGGUAAUACGUAGGGUGCGAGCGUUAAUCGGAAUUACUGGGCGUAAAGCGUGCGCAGGCGGUUUGCUAAGACCGAUGUGAAAUCCCCGGGCUCAACCUGGGAACUGCAUUGGUGACUGGCAGGCUAGAGUAUGGCAGAGGGGGGGUAGAAUUCCACGUGUAGCAGUGAAAUGCGUAGAGAUGUGGAGGAAUACCGAUGGCGAAGGCAGCCCCCUGGGCCAAUACUGACGCUCAUGCACGAAAGCGUGGGGGAGCAAACAGGAUUAGAUACCCUGGUAGUCCACGCCCUAAACGAUGUCAACUAGUUGUUGGGGAUUCAUUUCCUUAGUAACGUAGCUAACGCGUGAAGUUGACCGCCUGGGGAGUACGGUCGCAAGAUUAAAACUCAAAGGAAUUGACGGGGACCCGCACAAGCGGUGGAUGAUGUGGAUUAAUUCGAUGCAACGCGAAAAACCUUACCUACCCUUGACAUGGUCGGAAUCCCGCUGAGAGGUGGGAGUGCUCGAAAGAGAACCGGCGCACAGGUGCUGCAUGGCUGUCGUCAGCUCGUGUCGUGAGAUGUUGGGUUAAGUCCCGCAACGAGCGCAACCCUUGUCCUUAGUUGCUACGCAAGAGCACUCUAAGGAGACUGCCGGUGACAAACCGGAGGAAGGUGGGGAUGACGUCAAGUCCUCAUGGCCCUUAUGGGUAGGGCUUCACACGUCAUACAAUGGUCGGAACAGAGGGUUGCCAACCCGCGAGGGGGAGCUAAUCCCAGAAAACCGAUCGUAGUCCGGAUUGCACUCUGCAACUCGAGUGCAUGAAGCUGGAAUCGCUAGUAAUCGCGGAUCAGCAUGCCGCGGUGAAUACGUUCCCGGGUCUUGUACACACCGC